CAAUCCAGGUCGGUUUCUAUCUAUGCAGCCGCCUUCUUCAGUACGAAAGGACAAAGAGGGGGGGACCAAUGCCAUAAGCACGUCCCAAACUAUAAACUGUAUAAAACUAAAAUAGAACNGCUACUACCACGACCAAAGAUCGUGGUU
This 147-nucleotide ribosomal RNA is filed under the name Plestiodon copei. RNAcentral's name for it is "partial 16S ribosomal RNA". The record is from RNAcentral. Lineage: Eukaryota; Metazoa; Chordata; Lepidosauria; Squamata; Scincidae.